Molecule: long non-coding RNA, 202 nt
Organism: Cydia splendana
Lineage: Eukaryota; Metazoa; Arthropoda; Insecta; Lepidoptera; Tortricidae
Exons: 2
Source: RefSeq, a predicted model, not a curated record
AGGCACUAGUUUUUACGAAAGCGACUGCCAUCUGACCUUCCAACCCAGAGGGGAAACUAGGCCUUAUUGGGAUUAGUCCGUAAAUAUCAAAUGAUAUUCGUACAUAAGUUCCGAAAAACUCAUUGGUACGAGCCGGGGUUUGAACCCGCGACCUCCGGAUUGCAAGUCGCACGCUCUUACCGCUAGGCCACCAGCGCUUAUA